CGGGCCGGCCAGACGGUCGCGUCGCCCCUUUGGGGGCGCCGAGGAACGUCCGGGCUCCACAGGGCAGGACGGUGGGUAACGCCCACCCGGGGCAACCCGCGAGACAGUGCCACAGAAAGCAGACCGCCCCGAAAGGGGUCAGGGUGAAAGGGUGCGGUAAGAGCGCACCGGGCGCCUGGCGACAGGCGUCGCACGGUAAACCUCGUCCGGAGCAAGGUCAGACAGGAGACGACGACGCUGCCCGCCGAGUCUCCGGGUGGACCGCUGGAGGCGCGCGGUAACGCGCGUCCGAGAGAGAUGGCCGUCACGGCCCGCGGAGCGAUCCGCGGGACGGACAGAACCCGGCGUAUCGGCCGGCCCGUUCC
Molecule: RNase P RNA, 365 nt
Filed under: Pseudoclavibacter sp.
Lineage: Bacteria; Bacillati; Actinomycetota; Actinomycetes; Micrococcales; Microbacteriaceae
Description: RNase P RNA component class A
Rfam family: Bacterial RNase P class A
About the family: Ribonuclease P (RNase P) is a ubiquitous endoribonuclease, found in archaea, bacteria and eukarya as well as chloroplasts and mitochondria.
Source: RNAcentral